This 623-nucleotide ribosomal RNA is filed under the name uncultured bacterium. RNAcentral's name for it is "bacterial SSU rRNA". It matches the Rfam family "Bacterial small subunit ribosomal RNA", at positions 192 to 796 of the family's 1533-position model. The record is from RNAcentral.
CCCCACGGGGGAAAGCGGAGGACCGCAAGGCUUCGCACUAUCGGAGUGGCCGAUAUCGGAUUAGCUAGUUGGCGGGGUAACGGCCCACCAAGGCGACGAUCCGUAGCUGGUCUGAGAGGACGAUCAGCCACACUGGAACUGAGACACGGUCCAGACUCCUACGGGAGGCAGCAGUGGGGAAUUUUGGACAAUGGGCGCAAGCCUGAUCCAGCCAUGCCGCGUGAGUGAAGAAGGCCUUCGGGUUGUAAAGCUCUUUCGGUGGGGACGAAAAGGUUCGUGCUAAUACCAUGGACUAAUGACGGUACCCGAAGAAGAAGCACCGGCUAACUACGUGCCAGCAGCCGCGGUAAUACGUAGGGUGCAGGCGUUAAUCGGAAUUACUGGGCGUAAAGCGUGCGCAGGCGGUUUGUUAAGACAGAUGUGAAAUCCCCGGGCUUAACCUGGGAACUGCGUUUGUAACUGGCAAGCUAGAGUGUGGCAGAGGGGGGUGGAAUUCCAAGUGUAGCAGUGAAAUGCGUAGAUAUUUGGAGGAACACCGAUGGCGAAGGCAGCCCCCUGGGCUAACACUGACGCUCAUGCACGAAAGCGUGGGGAGCAAACAGGAUUAGAUACCCUGGUAGUCC